GCAACUCGCCUGCAUGAAGUUGGAAUUGCUAGUAAUCGCGAAUCAGAAUGUCGCGGUGAAUACGUUCCCGGGCCUUGUACACACCGCCCGUCACACCAUGAGAGUCGAUAACACCCGAAGCCUGUGAGCUAACCUUUUAGGAGGCAGCAGUCGAAGGUGGGGUUGAUGAUUGGGGUGAAGUCGUAACAAGGUACC
RNAcentral lists this ribosomal RNA (195 nucleotides) under uncultured bacterium. RNAcentral describes it as "partial 16S ribosomal RNA". It matches the Rfam family "Bacterial small subunit ribosomal RNA", at positions 1307 to 1500 of the family's 1533-position model. The record is from RNAcentral.